RNAcentral lists this ribosomal RNA (613 nucleotides) under uncultured marine group I thaumarchaeote. RNAcentral describes it as "bacterial SSU rRNA". It matches the Rfam family "Archaeal small subunit ribosomal RNA", at positions 321 to 936 of the family's 1478-position model. Lineage: Archaea; Thermoproteati; Nitrososphaerota. The record is from RNAcentral.
CCCUAUGGGGUGCAGCAGGCGAGAAAACUUUGCAAUGUGCGAAAGCACGACAAGGUUAAUCCGAGUGGUCUCUGCUAAAGGGACCUUUUGACAGUCCUAGAAACACUGUUGAAUAAGGGGUGGGCAAGUUCUGGUGUCAGCCGCCGCGGUAAAACCAGCACCUCAAGUGGUCAGGAUGAUUAUUGGGCCUAAAGCAUCCGUAGCCUGCUUUGUCAGUUUUCGGUUAAAUCCAUGCGCUCAACGUAUGGGCUGCCGGGAAUACUGCAAAGCUAGGGAGUGGGAGAGGUAGACGGUACUCGGUAGGAAGGGGUAAAAUCCUUUGAUCUAUUGAUGACCACCUGUGGCGAAGGCGGUCUACCAGAACACGUCCGACGGUGAGGGAUGAAAGCUGGGGGAGCAAACCGGAUUAGAUACCCGGGUAGUCCCAGCUGUAAACUAUGCAAACUCAGUGAUGCAUUGGCUUGUGGCCAAUGCAGUGCUGCAGGGAAACCGUUAAGUUUGCCGCCUGGGAAGUACGUACGCAAGUAUGAAACUUAUAGGAAUUGGCGGGGGGAGCACCACAAGGGGUGUAGCCUGCGGUUCAUUGGAGUCAAGCCAGAAGUCUUACCCGGGA